AGCGAACGCUGGCGGCAGGCUUAACACAUGCAAGUCGAACGCCCCGCAAGGGGAGUGGCAGACGGGUGAGUAACACGUGGGAACGUACCCUUUGGUUCGGAAUAACUUGGGGAAACUCAAGCUAAUACCGGAUAAGCCCUUAUGGGGAAAGGUUUACUGCCGAAGGAUCGGCCCGCGUCUGAUUAGCUAGUUGGUGAGGUAAUGGCUCACCAAGGCGACGAUCAGUAGUUGGUCUGAGAGGAUGAUCAGCCACACUGGGACUGAGACAAGGCCCAGACUCCUACGGGAGGCAGCAGUGGGGAAUAUUGGACAAUGGGGGCAACCCUGAUCCAGCCAUGCCGCGUGAGUGAUGAAGGCCUUAGGGUUGUAAAGCUCUUUUACUCGGGACGAUAAUGACUGUACCGGGAGAAUAAGCCCCGGCUAACUUCGUGCCAGCCGCCGCCGUAA
This 447-nucleotide ribosomal RNA is filed under the name uncultured bacterium. Its description in RNAcentral is "partial 16S ribosomal RNA". It matches the Rfam family "Bacterial small subunit ribosomal RNA", at positions 29 to 523 of the family's 1533-position model. The record is from RNAcentral.